CCCCGUCUGAUGUCUAUCUGAUAUCACUUUUCCAUAACUUAAUCGCAUAUGAAUAUAUGAAAUAAAUAAAAUCCGAACAUAAAUUGAUUAUGUACAAGAGUAAUGUCCACUAUUGGUCGUAUGAGAAAUGUCAGGUUUCAACUUCCGGCAUUUCACUAUAAAGUUUCCAGAAUAGAUUAAUUCCACGGAAAACUGGGUUUGGCACAGUUUCUUGUCCUAUGAAGAAGGAUCUCUCCAAUGAGAUCGCUGUGAUUUGUAGAAUGUUCCAUAGCUGUUGUUGAGGUAGUAGGAACUGUUUUCUCCAACGUUGUUAGACGGCGACGACGGUUGAAGGUGGUCCUCCGGUGGGUAUGACGAGAGCUAAUACUCGG
Molecule: long non-coding RNA, 371 nt
Filed under: Mytilus galloprovincialis (Mediterranean mussel)
Lineage: Eukaryota; Metazoa; Mollusca; Bivalvia; Mytilida; Mytilidae
Source: RNAcentral